This 465-nucleotide ribosomal RNA is filed under the name uncultured bacterium. Its description in RNAcentral is "partial 16S ribosomal RNA". It matches the Rfam family "Bacterial small subunit ribosomal RNA", at positions 339 to 795 of the family's 1533-position model. The record is from RNAcentral.
CUACGGGGGGCAGCAGUGAGGAAUAUUGCGCAAUGGGGGAAACCCUGACGCAGCGACGCCGCGUGGAUGAUGAAGGCCUUCGGGUCGUAAAAUCCUGUCAGAUGGGAAGAAAUGUUGUAUGGCUAAUACCUGUAUGAUUUGACGGUACCAUCAAAGGAAGCACCGGCUAACUCCGUGCCAGCAGCCGCGGUAAUACGGAGGGUGCAAGCGUUGUUCGGAAUUACUGGGCGUAAAGCGCGCGUAGGCGGCUAUUUAAGUCAGAUGUGAAAGUCCACGGCUCAACCGUGGAAGUGCAUUUGAAACUGGAUAGCUUGAGUACUGGAGGGGGUGGUGGAAUUCCCGGUGUAGAGGUGAAAUUCGUAGAUAUCGGGAGGAAUACCGGUGGCGAAGGCGACCACCUGGCCAGAUACUGACGCUGAGGUGCGAAAGCGUGGGGAGCAAACAGGAUUAGAUACCCCUGUAGUC